Molecule: non-coding RNA, 97 nt
Filed under: Pontibacter ummariensis
Lineage: Bacteria; Pseudomonadati; Bacteroidota; Cytophagia; Cytophagales; Hymenobacteraceae
Description: TPP sequence
Rfam family: TPP riboswitch aptamer (THI element)
About the family: Vitamin B(1) in its active form thiamin pyrophosphate (TPP) is an essential coenzyme that is synthesised by coupling of pyrimidine and thiazole moieties in bacteria. The previously detected thiamin-regulatory element, thi box was extended, resulting in a new, highly conserved RNA secondary structure, the THI element, which is widely distributed in eubacteria and also occurs in some archaea.
Source: Rfam by way of RNAcentral
GCGGUAGUUUAGGGGUGCCUUACAACAACGGGCUGAGAUCAUACCCAUUGAACCUGAUCCGGGUAAUGCCGGCGAAGGGAAAACGGAGGAAACUAUA